Molecule: non-coding RNA, 1653 nt
Organism: Coturnix japonica (Japanese quail)
Lineage: Eukaryota; Metazoa; Chordata; Aves; Galliformes; Phasianidae
Source: the annotation of a RefSeq genome assembly
GAGGAACUGCACUGGAGAUUCUGGAACUGCAGCCACAUAGGGUUUUCCAUAGUGGUGGUUUUGCAAGGCUCUGAACACAGCUUGUGCUGGACAUGCCUUUCUGCCUGGAUAGAGCAUUUGUUCUAUAUUUCUCUGUAAACAGACAGGACCACCGCCUUCAAAACAACCUCAGCAUUCUCUGGUCUUGCUCCUUUCCCAGGAAGCUGUAGGUUCUUGACAAGCACAGAACCAAGUUUUAUGCACAGAAAAAAAACAUGCCUGGAGAGUUCUCCUCCCACUCAGUGCUGUCCCCAUCUGGGGCCCCACUCACACAUCUCUGAGUAUCAACAGCAGCUGAGCAGGAGCAGCAAACAUGCUGCUGCGGGCAGCUCUGAUGGUCGUAACUGCAUGGUCUUAUGGAUUUGCACAGGAAACUCCCAUACAGAGCCCAGUAUCCAUCACCAAGUCACAAGGAAAUGCAGAUCUGAAGUGUCAUUUUAAAGACUUCUCUGGAAAUUUUGAUAACACUGUCAUACACUGGUAUCAACAAAAGGAGAAUAAGGCCCCUGUGAGGAUGAUGUACUUUUCAGCAGGGAGAACAUUUCCAGAUGAGGGCUUUAAUAGGAACAGAUAUAGGAUUCAAGCAAAUGCUGGACAGAAAAUUUGCACUCUUACAAUCAAGAACGUCAUUCCGGAUGAUGCUGCUUCUUACUAUUGUGCCUACUGGGACCCUCACUGUAACAGAAGCCAAAUGAUCACCACAACAAAUACUUCCUCAGCAGCUCACAGAUCAUUUGGAAUAAACCAGAGCAACUCCGGUGGUGUGGAUGAGCUGCUCAUCCUGAAGGAGUUCCAUCACAAUCUCUUAGAGGAUUUUAGAUAUUUUCUUCUCUCAAAUGAAGGUUUAUGAAGCUAUCUGCAAAGUCCAUGUUAUGCAUUUCUUCGGUGGCAAGUAUAUUUGCUAAUAAUCUUCACCUGGAAAGAUGUAUGGUUGGAAAGGAAUCUGUCCAGUAUACGUGCCUUCUUGUAACUGACAGCACAAAGCUCGAUUUGUAGUUAUGCCUACAGGGAAACUUGCUGUGUUACAAAACUUCAGGACAAAACUUAGACAGUAGCUGUCAUUUGGACAUUAGAUGUGUGAGUUCCCAUCACUACCAUGCGCCAUUUGUUUUCAACUGGAAUCAGGUAUCAGUCAGAUUUCUGCUCUGUGGCCAGAGGAAUAGCAGUGAAUCGAUACACAUUUCAUCUGUCCUGGUAGAUUUUGGCUGCACGGGUUUAGACUCAUGUUCUCUCCAGACAGUCACUAACACAAAUGUGACUGUAACUAACUGAGGUUGCCCAUCCAGGAGAUUGUCCUGGGGUGCUGCUGCAAGGAACGACUGUGUCUCUGUCUCCCUUCUUUAAGUCUAUCCCAUCCUUCCCUCCUCCUUGCACAUGCACUGAAGCCCCAUACCUUCCUGUCCUGACUUAAAAUGAAACGGUCUUUGCUGUUACUGUUUACAAGGAAGAGAGGGAGUCGUCCAAUCCUCUUAGCCACUUGUGCUUAACACCAAGUUGCCAUGAGAUAUUCUGAUUUGUUUUCCAGUAUUUCUCUCCUAGAAGUGUUUGCAUCUGUUCUGAGGUUCAAAACUGAAGUCCUGAGGCUGUGCAUUUCCUCCCACACUCCAAAUCAAA